RNAcentral lists this ribosomal RNA (519 nucleotides) under uncultured bacterium. Its description in RNAcentral is "bacterial SSU rRNA". It matches the Rfam family "Bacterial small subunit ribosomal RNA", at positions 994 to 1510 of the family's 1533-position model. The record is from RNAcentral.
ACAACUCUAGAGAUAGAGUCUUCCCCUUCGGGGGACAAAGUGACAGGUGGUGCAUGGUUGUCGUCAGCUCGUGUCGUGAGAUGUUGGGUUAAGUCCCGCAACGAGCGCAACCCUUAAGCUUAGUUGCCAGCAUUAAGUUGGGCACUCUAAGUUGACUGCCGGUGACAAACCGGAGGAAGGUGGGGAUGACGUCAAAUCAUCAUGCCCCUUAUGAUUUGGGCUACACACGUGCUACAAUGGACAAUACAAAGGGCAGCUAAACCGCGAGGUCAUGCAAAUCCCAUAAAGUUGUUCUCAGUUCGGAUUGUAGUCUGCAACUCGACUACAUGAAGCUGGAAUCGCUAGUAAUCGUAGAUCAGCAUGCUACGGUGAAUACGUUCCCGGGUCUUGUACACACCGCCCGUCACACCACGAGAGUCUGUAACACCCGAAGCCGGUGGAGUAACCAUUUAUGGAGCUAGCCGUCGAAGGUGGGACAAAUGAUUGGGGUGAAGUCGUAACAAGGUAGCCGUAUCGGAA